This 253-nucleotide ribosomal RNA is filed under the name uncultured bacterium. RNAcentral's name for it is "partial 16S ribosomal RNA". It matches the Rfam family "Bacterial small subunit ribosomal RNA", at positions 524 to 776 of the family's 1533-position model. The record is from RNAcentral.
UACGUAGGGGGCAAGCGUUGUCCGGAAUCAUUGGGCGUAAAGAGCGUGUAGGCGGCCAGAUAAGUCCGCUGUGAAAACUCGAGGCUCAACUUCGAGCUGUCGGUGGAAACUAUUUGGCUAGAGUCCGGAAGAGGAGAGUGGAAUUCCUGGUGUAGCGGUGAAAUGCGCAGAUAUCAGGAGGAACACCAAUGGCGAAGGCAGCUCGCUGGGACGUGACUGACGCUGAGACGCGAAAGCGUGGGGAGCAAACAGG